Molecule: non-coding RNA, 146 nt
Organism: Aspergillus egyptiacus
Lineage: Eukaryota; Fungi; Ascomycota; Eurotiomycetes; Eurotiales; Aspergillaceae
Source: the annotation of a GenBank genome assembly
GCCCGGGUGGUCUAGUGGUAUGAUUCUCGCUUAGUAAGGCCCACUUAACAUUACCAAACUCAGUUAUCUUGUUACUAACAAGACCUCCAGGGGUUCACCCUUAGCAAAUAUGCGAGAGGUCCCGCGUUCGAUCCGCGGCUCGGGCC